Molecule: ribosomal RNA, 525 nt
Filed under: uncultured cyanobacterium
Lineage: Bacteria; Bacillati; Cyanobacteriota
Description: bacterial SSU rRNA
Rfam family: Bacterial small subunit ribosomal RNA
Source: RNAcentral
GCCUGGAGAUGAGCUCGCGUCUGAUUAGCUAGUUGGUGGGGUAAAAGCUUACCAAGGCAACGAUCAGUAGCUGGUCUGAGAGGAUGAUCAGCCACACUGGGACUGAGACACGGCCCAGACUCCUACGGGAGGCGGCAGUGGGGAAUUUUCCGCAAUGGGCGAAAGCCUGACGGAGCAAUACCGCGUGGGGGAGGAAGGCUCUUGGGUUGUAAACCCCUUUUCUUAGGGAAGAACACAUUGCCGGUCCUUGAGGAAUAAGCGUGGGUUAACUCCGUGCCACCACCCGGGGUAAUACGGAGGAGGCAAGCUUUUUCCGGAUUGAUGGGCCUUAAGGCGUCCGCGGGUGGCCUGGUAGUUUUGUGGUUAAAGCCUGGGGUUAACUCUGGUAUGGCGGGGGAAACUACAAACCUAGAUUCCGUUCGGGGCAAAGGAAAUUCCUGGGGUACCGGUAAAAUGCUUAAAAUCAGGAAAAACACCGGUGGCGAAGCGGCUUUGUUGGGCCGACCUGACACUGAGGGACAAAAG